AUUAUCUGUGAAGAUGCAGAUUUCUUAUAUUAGGACAGAAAGACCCUAUGAAGCUUUACUAUUAAUAGAUAUUGAAAAUAUAUAUAUAUAACAUAGAAUAAAUGGGAAGUAGUAAUAUUAUUUUUUUGGAAAUAAUGUAAUUGUUAAUGAAAUACCAUUUUAUAUAUAUAUAAAUUCUUAUAAAAUUUUUAUAACAAAAUUUUUAACAAUAUUUAUAAGAUAGUUUGACUGGGGCGGUCUCCUCCUAUAUAAAAACGGAGGUGUACAAUGUUAUAUUUAUUAUAUAAAGAUAAAUAUAUAAUUAACUGUAAAAUUUACAAAUUAAACAGAGAUUAAUGUCGGUCUUAAUGAUCCGAUAAUUAUUUAAUAAUAAAAUUAUCGCUUAACGGAUAAAAGUUACUCUAGGGAUAACAGGCUAAUCUUUUCCGAGAGUCCAUAUUGACGAAAAGGUUUGGCACCUCGAUGUCGGCUUAUCGCAUCCUAAGGCAGUAGUAUGUUUUAAGGGUAAGUCUGUUCGCCUAUUAAAGCGAUACGUGAGCUGGGUUCAGAACGUCGUGAGACAGUUCGGUCCAUAUCUAAUAUAAGUGUUAGAAUAUUGAAAUUAUUUUUUCUAGUACGAGAGGAUCGAAAAAAUUAUACCAAUGAUAUAUCAAUUAUUAUAUUUUGUAAUGUUGAGUAGUUAAGUAUAAAAUUUUAAUUGUUGAAGUAAUAUAAAUAAGAAAAUUUAAUUAAAAAUAAUAUUCUAAUCAUAUAAAUGAAUAAAACAAUAAUUAGAAAAAUUAUUUUAUAGAAUUAAUAUGUAUUUAUAGUAAUAUAUUUAGUAUAUAAUUCCUAAUAAGUUGA
Molecule: non-coding RNA, 843 nt
Organism: Plasmodium berghei ANKA
Lineage: Eukaryota; Apicomplexa; Aconoidasida; Haemosporida; Plasmodiidae
Source: the annotation of a RefSeq genome assembly